CGCACAGUCGGAAGAGAAAAUGUGUGAAGAUCGAAAACGGAGUAAAUACGUAGACACGGAAUUGCCGUGCUCCGACUUUUACAGGAAUGAGACGCUCCCAUGUGGAACAGAACACGCCAGAUUGUCGUUAUUCUUACUAUUGUUAACUAUUACAUUAAGCUUGUUGCGAUAUUUAGAAUUUUGACGAUAUGAUUCAAGUAGAUACAAUGUCUUGCUGUGACUUUCAAUUGCUCAAACAUCUUUUGGCAUUCGGGAGUAUUCGUGGUAACUUGUCAUUUUCCAGUCUACAUUUAUAUUACGCAGAAAACAUAGGAACGACAGAAAUAAAUAUCUUUACUACUUUCACAACAUUUUAACGUUGUAAAAGCGUCCCAGCAUGUAAUAUAAAUGACCAACAUUCAGCAAAACUAAGUACCCGUUGUCCUAAAUGAAGCGCAUAAACCUUUGUCUCUGUUUCCAUAUGCGUCUUACUAUGCUACAUUUCUGUACCUUGUGUACUGUCAAGAGCUUUUUUAUAGACAGACUGUGAUUCCAAAGCACCAGAAGUUGAAAUAUACUUAGUACAAUUACAGGGAAGCUUUUAUUUCCACCGAAAUACCUCUUGGUGAUUUACAUGUAGUUAGUAAAGUCGAUGUGUACAAACAUUUGGAAUAUUUUCAUAAUGAGUCUUGAGUAAAAGUCACAGCAGAUGUUUAACAGAAUGCCUUGUAAACAAAAUUCAAGAUAUGCAAAGUGCUAAGCACAUAAUCAAAAGGCCUUUGUAGUACUUAGAAUGUCGUAUUAUCAUUAUCAUGGUAAAAAAGGCAGACAAUUGGUUUCGGCAAAUUUCGUGUAAUGUCGUUAUAUUCCGUGACUGAUUUGGUCGUUGCAUGUGCCCUGUUCCAUAUACAUAGAAAUGUUGGGUAUUCGAUAAAAACUACACUCUUGUCAGUAAAAAUGUACUACAAGCGUGCAUUAAUCCAUCAAAACCAAUCAGUUGUUAAUGCAGAAUAAUACAGAUUCUAACACGAACAGCAAAUAACCUACAUACAUGUAGAACAAAAUCUAUCUCGGGUUAUUCUGCAAUAAGCUACUCGCGUGCAAUUACGUCAUCCGAUCCAGGUGCGUUGCACGGCCGUAAAAAGUAGUAACCAUUUUUUCUAACACUGUUGAUACUAGUAUGUCGUGUUAGAAUCGAAGUAAGAAGUUCCAAAGUGUGAUUUAUGGUAGAAUAACCCGAGUGUUUCGUUCUUAUGCGAAACAAUACAUCACUCAGGCCAACGGCCUUCGUGAUAUAUUCUUACGCAUAAGAACUCAAAACUCGAGUUAUUCUACGAUAAACCACGUUUGGGAAGCGUGUACUCGAAUCUUGACAAUUCCGAUUACCGUAAAUAUGAAAAAGUUCAGUAAAUGUAUUGUUUACAUCAAGACGUACUUAAAGAUCAACUGCAUAAGAGUGAUAUUAUGCAGCAUUAAGUGAGUUCAACCAUGUAUUUUAUGUUUUAGAAAAUGAAAACAGUGAUAUGUUGUGUAAGCUUUAUUCUCGACCAGUACUGUUUUGAGUAAUCCGAUUAUAUUUAAUAAGACUUGUAACUUAAUAAGUGAUGUAAAUUUAACUAGUAUUGGAUAUCAACUGUCAGUUCAUUAUACAUUGUUGUAGUAUUUUAGCACUCAUAUACUUUUCACUAAGGUUGUGCGUGAAUAUGUAAAUUUCAUUACUUUGAAGUGAUAUGUAUAUAAUUGUACAUGUAUUGUAUUAUACUGUUAUAAUGAUUUGCUCAAAAUGUUAACACAGAUUGAUCAUAUGUGUAUAUUACUAUUCAGUUUUACUUGAAAUAUACAAGUGAUAUUCAUUCAGUAAAAAAAAAUAUACGAGUAUUUUGACAGAUAAUUUUGUGAUUUGAUUGGUACAAAUUAGUUAAGAACUAUAUCACUCUAAUAGCGUACCGAAUUCUAUAUAAAAUGUUUCUUUGUAAUUAUAGGACAUGCUUAGUUAUGAACAAUAUCAAAUCAACUCCAACAAUUCAACAUUUCUUUUUAGGGGACGUUUAUGAAUUAUUUGUCGUGUUAACAUCUGUGUAAAAAAGACACAAAAUACGUUUUUGUAAUAAGUUCUUUUGGCGUUUAAAAACAAAAAUUUAUAUUUCUGUAUGAUUUUGGCUACAAUUACAAGAACUGUACAUGCUGCUUCUAAGUUAAGUAAUAUAUUAAACAAGAGGGUCAUGAUGACCCUGGAUCUCUCACAUGAGUAAUAUGAGCUACAUGUUUCAAAUGUCAAACUGAUGCUAAAAUAUUAAGAAAGAAGGUCAGCAGGUCACAUAUAUGGUCACUGAAAGUCAGUUUUAAGAUUGGUUUGCAAAACUGUACAUGUCAUAUAAAUUUCAAGAUUGUAUCUUAAAAACAAGAACGUAGGCCAGUAGAUCACAUUCAUCGUCACUGAAAGUCAGUUUUAAGAUCGGUGUGCUAAACUGUACAUGUCAUCCAAAUUUCAAGACUGUAUCUUAAAAACAAGAAAGUGGGUCAGUAGGUCACAUUUAUGGUCACUGAAAUUCAGUUUUAGGAUUAGUCUGCAAGAAAGUAGGUCAGUAGGUCACAUUCCACAUGACCCAGAUUUGACAUUCUGACCAACUUUCAUGAAGAUACAGUCAUAAAUGGGACCUGUAGAGUGUUAAAAGGUUUUAAUUUGAGUUGACCUGGUGACCUAGAUUUCGACCCCACCUGACCCAAAUUUGCACUUAACCUAAAAAUCAUCAGGAUUAACAUUCUGACCAAGUUUAAUUAGGUUAUGGUCUUAAACGUGGCCUCUAGAGUGUUAACUAGCUAUUCCUUUGAUUUGACCUGGUGACCUAGUUUUUAAUUCCACCUUACCCAGAUUUGCACUUAACCUAAAGACAAUCAAGAUUAACAUUCUGACAAAGUUUCAUUCAGAUAUGUUUAUCAAUGUGGCAUCUAGAGUGUUAACUAGCUUUUCCUUUGAUUUGAACUGCUGACCUAGUUUUUGACCCCACAUGACCAAGAUUCAAACUUAUCUAAAGAUUAUCAAGAUUAACAUUCUGACUAAGUUAAAAGAAGAUACAGUCGUAAAUAUGGACUCUAGAAUGUUAACAAGCUUUUCCUUUGAUUUGACCUGGUGACCUAGUUUUUGACCCCACCUGACCCAGAUUUGAAUUUGACCUAAAGAUCAUCAAGGUUAACAUUCUGAGAAAGUUUCAUAGAGAUAUUUUCAAAAAUAUGGCCUCUUGAAUGUUAACCAGCUUUUCUUUUGAUUUAACCUGGUGACAUAGUUUUUUUACCCCAGAUGACCAAAAUCUAAUUGGUCCAAGAUUUUAUUGAGAGUAACAUUCUGACUCUUAAGAUGGUCUACUUGAAAACAAAAAUUGAUAGUUUUACCAAGUUUAUCGAACAUUGUAUCUUUCACAGAGUUCUAUUCUAACCAUUAUGUAAAUGAACUUUUGUAGGAAUUAAAUAUUAAACUGAAAUGCCUUUAGAUUUUUUUAACUGCUGCUAUUUGUAUUGUUUGAAAUCUUAGUUCAUCUAAAAUGGUAUAAAAGCCAAUUUGUAUGUCUAUUCCUUGUUUUUGUUCUAGCAAUUUCCUUUUAUACUUAUAUAUACCUAGAUUUGACAUACAACCACACAGAACGGUGUGUUUAAAUAACUCAAUUUAGCUGUAAUGUAAACAUCUUUUUUUUCCUUUUCUUGUAUCCAGUUAUGACUGACAUUUCCCAGUUACUCAGUGUUGUUUUCCAUUCAAACGACAUAUUUCAGAACAUUGGUUUGGGCAAAAGUACUACUAUUUUCUCAAAUAGUGCAAAGUUGCAGUCAUAAAACGAGCAAGACGAAUCUUAAAAAUACUUGCUAUCAAAAGAGCAUAUGCGAUAAUAUACAUGUAUGUCUAGAUAAAUAAAGGCUUGAUUUUUUCUAUGAUUAUCACAGUGUCUUAAUCAAACUUUUCUCAUUUUGAGACAAUUGUUUCAAAUAACAUAUUGAACAUGUGAUUUCAGUAGUUUUACAAUGUACUAGCUCAAAUAAUUGUGUAUAUAUUUCCAUUUCUCAUGUUAAAACAUUUGUUUAAAGUUCUUAUUGAGUCCGGAAACUGAAUUUUAGUAUUUAAAUGACUAAGUUUUCUAUAUAUGAGCGCGCCAUGAGAAAACCAACAUAGUGCAUUUGCGAUGAGCAUGGAUCCAGACCAGCAUUCGUGCUGUUCGCUUUCAAAGUCUAUUGUAAUUAGAGAAACCGUUAGCGAGCAGCAUGGAUCCUGACCAGACUGCUCGCAAAUGCAUUAUGUUGGUUUUCUCAUGGUGUGGCUCAUGUCUGCUCUUAUAAUGUUUUAUGACAAGGUGCUGGAGAGUAAAUGCGACAAAUACGUAUUUCCGUUUCUUUCAGAAGAAUGACAGCAUUUUAAAUACGAUAAGGGCAUAUAGAAUAAUUGGCACGGUAAAGGUUGUGGAACACGCGCUAUGAAUAUUUUACGUACUGUAGAUUGGGUUAUUUUUAUCGUGAACUUUAUUUAGCGAAUUUGUUGUUGGCAGCCUUAUUAUCGGUGUUGAGAAUUAUCGAGACUUGGUUUAGGAUAUGAAAGCAUUAUUCGCGAAUAUAAGCGAAAAUAAAACAAACGUAAAUAUAACUUUAGAUGGAAUAAAAUUAUGUAUCUAUUAUUUUAUAUGCCGAGAUGUGAAAUUGAAUUUUAAAUCAUUUACUGAACGCUUACAGUAUAUGUGAAGGUGCGUACAACAUGCAUCAGUUAAAUGCGUUGUGUUAAACUUUGUUAGCUGCCUUUAUAUUGUGACAUAUUGUUGCCGUGCUCAUUUACAGAAAACUAUAUAUUCACUUUUAAAUUUCAUUUGAAAUGAUUCGAUUUAUUUAUUUCAUUUUUUCACUCCAACUAGAUUUAAGUGGAAUAAUUUUGCACUAUUUCCAGGAUGUGAUGAGGUACGUUUUGAAACGAGUUUUUAAUAACUGGAAAAUAAUGCUAUAGGCUAAUGUUAAUAUAGCUUUGUUUUGAAAUACUAAAAGAAUGCAGCCAGUAGCAGUACCACUUUAAAAAUAGCUGUCAAAUAUAUUUUGUAUGUUGUAUGUUGUUUUCUUUGCUAUGUUAAAUAUAAUUGCGAGGAUAUUCUUUAUGGUGAAGAGUGACAAAAGAGGUUUUGUUAUGUUUGCAAAUUUUAAAUGAUUGUUACAAGGUUUAACCAAAAAAAUACUUAAAGGCUGAAAAUUGUCUGCAAAUUGCAUGUUUCUUUAUGUAUAAAGUCCAAAUUCAAUUGUCUAUGUCAGGGUAUUUAUAUGUUAAACUUUCAAAAUUCAUGGAACUGUAUAAUCAUUUAACAAUAUAACAACUGACAAUUUGCUGUUUGAUUUUAUUUCCAUACAUUGAUUCUCAUUAACAUGCAUGGAAACCUCAGAGGGGACAGCUCAAUCUGCAGGAGGUUGAUUUUUUAAAGGCUGUAUGAUGUUUAUCAUUAACAUCUUUUAUUCGUAACACUAUUAAAAUAAAAUAAUAUUUAUCCGUU
Long non-coding RNA from Mercenaria mercenaria, 5486 nucleotides. RefSeq lists it as uncharacterized. The transcript is spliced from 2 exons. Lineage: Eukaryota; Metazoa; Mollusca; Bivalvia; Venerida; Veneridae. The record is from RefSeq and is a predicted model, not a curated record.